UUAUGUUUUAGAGUUUUUUUUUUAAUGUAAACAUCCCUCAAACUGUAUAUGCACCGAUUGUCUACUUAGUUCUGAAACUAUCAAUUUCACCUCUUUUGUUCUUAAACUAUCACAUUGCACUCUAAUUGAUGUAAUACUUAACAGACACAACAAAUUUGGAUGGAAAACAUCCCACGUGCUUAUCAUGCGCGAAUAUUUUCCAGUCGUGAGGGGCAAAACAGCCAUUCACCUCUCUCUCUCUCACCCCAAUACCCUCUCUCUCAUUUAGGGUUUAAUCUUAAACAAAGAUCAAAGGGCAAAUUUUGCGUAGGGUUUCGGCAGCAUCUAGCUAGGGUUAAGAUUGCAAGGAGAUUACUUCAUUAUUCUCUGGGAUGGAUCACUUGAGGACAGGGGACGACAUAAUACCCAAAUGAGUACUAGUACCAGUAGUUGCUUCAUAGCAGGUGGAGACUGAGUGAGGUAGUAAACAGCAAAGAGCAUGGUCUUAGCUGUUGUUUCAUUUCCAGCAAAUAUAAGGUUGAUAAGGAAAUCAACAACAGCAUAGUCAGGUAAGCUUUCUUCAUCUACGAGUCUUCCAAGUAGGCCAUUCCCACCUUCCUUUGUAUCUUCUUCUUGUCUAUGCUUCUCUAUUGUGGUCUUGAUUUUGGUAAUUAUGGUUUCCCUUGCCUGUUGUCAAACAAAAUAUAUGCAAAUAUGGUUACAUUAAUUAGUUCAUCGUCUUCAAAACGUACAAAAAUCCAUUCUACAAUUUUUGGCAUCGGGUUUUAAUUAGUUCUAAGACACUGCAAAUUGGUGGCGACCUGCAAUACAUGGUUAGUUUGUCAAAGGAAUCGUUAUUGGCUUCGUAGUGCUUGUAUUUUGGAAUUGAUAUGAAUGAGGAAUGACUAGAGCAGGGAGAAGGUUUCGGCUUUGUCAUGUUCUCUGCCCUGAACAGGCUAGAGAUUCAGGAUUUUUUCCGGAGCUUAGAUUAGGUCCGGGAAACGGGAAAUGGGUCGGAGGCGGGUUUAGUACUCUUUACCCCGUCAUGAUCCCCAUUUUUUCUUACUAAUUCAUCCUUUGUACCCUUGAUUAUGUAAUUCUUAUGACCCUUCUUUUAUUGUGCAACUUUCAAAAUUUAUUCUAGUUCUCCAAAUUUUUGUUUUUAGGGCAAUUGAUAGGAAAGAUGAAUACAUCAUAUAUGAAUUACAAACUAUACAAAUCAUAGGACACUACAUCAGAUGUGGAAGAGUUCACGACAUAACUAAGCCUAACAACUCAACCCACACAAGAAAUAACCCUAUCAUAGGGAAACAAAUAAAAAAAAAGGAAGUAGGGGAGAAGUUAUCAAUUCUUGCAUUCGGCGAGAUUUGACACCUUGACCUCCCAAUUAAGAGUGCACAAAAGUGGUCAAUCGAACUAGACCCUUUUCUAGUUCUUUAGUUAAAGGUUCGUGAGUGUUAAAAUUUUGGAUUUUGAAUGCUUGAUGAUGAUACUAAUUUUGAAAGGUCCAUGACAAAGAUAUAUAUAUUUUUAUAGUGAAAAUUGCAAAUAAACUGGGUUUUGGAUUUUCACAAAUAUGGUUUAUGUGUGGGUAAUUAGAAAACAAGGGGUGGAAAUAGAAUGACCCCUAUUAGUGCUAACACUUCUGUCAAUAUGUGACAGAAGCAACUAUUUGGAUUGGACCUCUCUCUCUCCUCUUCUGCUUGAAUGGGUUGAGCUGCCCUCCUCUUUUCCCUAGUCACUGCAAGAGAAGCAACUAGUUAGUGCCUGCCGAAGGUGGCCGGAGGGCACUCUGAUGGCUAAGUUAGUGUCUGCCCGAGAGAGAAAAAACUCAAAGCGGGAGAAGAAAGAAUACCUCUUCGGGUUUAUCACUAUAGUAUUUACAGGAGUGCCUUGUCUUGGAGACCAAGGUAGAGCGUGUGUCGUCCUCAUGUCGGAUGGUCGCACCACGUGGCAGACCAACCUGGUGCCAUGUGGCUGGACCGAAGUAUUCCGAACUGGUGCUCCUGGUCCCCACUGUAGUUCACAGAUGUGACCUGACGCAACCUGACCCGACACCUCAAUUCGACCACUACGUGAGCUGGCGGAGCUGCCCAACAAAGGCCCCCCAGUCACCAAGGAUGACGGGCUGGUCUACUUUGGGCCCAUUUGGGCGAUUUGGAUUAUGGGCUAUAUUCCGGUCCGCUACAAUGGAGUGUUGACAUUGUGAUUGAAUGAGAAAUGGAGAGUUUACGUUGGAAAACUCGAAAGCACAUGGUAGAAUUUGGAAAUUGUGUAAAACUGUAUGGUUUAAAAUGUAUAACCCUGGACAGCAAUUCCCAAUGGCGCCCUUCUGUUGAGGACAUCAAUUCCCAAUGGUGGGCUCCAGAUCAUGGCACUUUCAAAUUCAAUUGCGAUGUGGCUAUGAUGUAGGACAAAUCUCUACUGAUUUUCUGGAAAGAUUUGAUAGGGUCAAAUCAAAGAAGAAGUAUUGAACAAGAUAUUCAAGUUAUGGGAACAAUAGAGUUUUAAUUUUUGUGUCUUGUUUUGACAACUUUUAUUUGGGAAUAAUAUUAGUAGAAGAUCUUAUUUAGUGUUGCCUGUUUAGCCCAAUAUCUAGUCUCUCUUUCUCUACUACGCUACGUCAGGCUAUCAAGCGUAACAGGCAGGCAGCCUUCGCUGCUGUUAUUCGUAACUGGAAUGGAUCGUUGAUGAAUGGAAAUGUAGCUCCAGCUAGUCUCUAGUCCUCUUCAAGGGGAACUCCUAGUGAUUCAUCUAGCAUGUGGGAUGGCGAGAUCCCUGGGCUUUUAUGGAGCAGUCAUUGAAUCAGAUAAUCAGAUGGCCAUCAAGCUCAGCGUCUUUGAGCUUGUUCCUCCUUGGGAGGUUGGGUCCUUGGUUCUGGAUAUCAGGCAGCUGAAACAGGAGCUUGAGCUCAAGUACACAUGGGUUAAGAGGGAAGCAAAUGGUUUAGCCCAUGUCGCUGCUUCCAAGGCUGUGAGGGAUCUUUCUUCCUAGUAACUGGGUGGCCUCUCCUCCGGAUUUGUUGCUUCCGUUUUAGAUAGUAAUUUCUGUUCUCUGUUGUAGCCACGUGGGCAAGGUUUUGGCAAUAAAAAAAAAAAUAAUUUGUAGUUUCCCGGUUUAAAAUGGUGCAAUGAUUUAAACAUCAUUCCAUUAUGGUUGGACUGUGUAUAUAUGUAGCAAUUAUUUUUAUGUUUUGUUUC
Rhododendron vialii is the source of this 3179-nucleotide long non-coding RNA. RefSeq lists it as uncharacterized. The record is from RefSeq and is a predicted model, not a curated record. NCBI's taxonomy places the organism in Eukaryota, Viridiplantae, Streptophyta, Magnoliopsida, Ericales, Ericaceae. The transcript is spliced from 3 exons.